RNAcentral lists this ribosomal RNA (497 nucleotides) under uncultured bacterium. RNAcentral describes it as "partial 16S ribosomal RNA". It matches the Rfam family "Bacterial small subunit ribosomal RNA", at positions 28 to 507 of the family's 1533-position model. The record is from RNAcentral.
GAUGAACGCUGGCGGCGUGCCUAAUACAUGCAAGUCGAGCGAACGGACGAGAAGCUUGCUUCUCUGAUGUUAGCGGCGGACGGGUGAGUAACACGUGGAGAACCUACCUAUAAGACUGGGAUAAAUUCGGGAAACCGGAGCUAAUACCGGAUGAUAUUUUGAACCGCAUGGUUCAAGAGUGAAAGACGUUCUUGCUGUCACUUAUAGAUGGAUCCGCGCUGCAUUAGCUAGUUGGUAAGGUAACGGCUUACCAAGGCAACGAUGCAUAGCCGACCUGAGAGGGUGAUCGGCCACACUGGAACUGAGACACGGUCCAGACUCCUACGGGAGGCAGCAGUAGGGAAUCUUCCGCAAUGGGCGAAAGCCUGACGGAGCAACGCCGCGUGAGUGAUGAAGGUCUUCGGAUCGUAAAACUCUGUUAUUAGGGAAGAACAUAUGUGUAAGUAACUGUGCACAUCUUGACGGUACCUAAUCAGAAAGCCACGGCUAACUACGUG